Molecule: long non-coding RNA, 332 nt
Organism: Asparagus officinalis (garden asparagus)
Lineage: Eukaryota; Viridiplantae; Streptophyta; Magnoliopsida; Asparagales; Asparagaceae
Exons: 3
Source: RefSeq, a predicted model, not a curated record
AAACUGAAACCCUAAAACCCCAAUCUCGUCCCCAAUCCACAACGGAGCAACCGAGCUCUCUUCCGCCUCAAUCCCGACCCCAAUCCCUCCUCCGCCUCCUCCGCCGCCGCCUCAACCGCCUCUCGAACCCGACGCCGCCUCCAUCACCAAGGUUUCUUGAAGAAGAAGGUGGAUCUUUGCUCGAUCUCGGCCUCAUUACUUGAGGAGUUCCAGGUUGAGCUCCUCCACCUCCGAUCUCAGCUUGACCUCAAGCUCGAUCUCAGCACCAAACUCAUUUUACAUUGUUUUAUCUUGAGCUAUUGAAGAUGAUGUUGCUCCUCUAACUGAAGUUU